Molecule: long non-coding RNA, 245 nt
Filed under: Mytilus galloprovincialis (Mediterranean mussel)
Lineage: Eukaryota; Metazoa; Mollusca; Bivalvia; Mytilida; Mytilidae
Source: RNAcentral
UGCAUUUAUUAAAUAAGGAAUAAGUCCCACAAUAUGUUUUAUAGCCAUAAACUUUUAAAAGCAAAUUUUUUCCCCUGUCAAUUUCCCCUCCAAAAAAAUACUUCACUGUUACUAGUAUUAAUAAAGGACCAGUGCUAACCUCUUAAUCCCCAGUUAACGCCUGUCCUAAGGAAGGACAGGUACCAGCUGGUCAUUUUCCAGUUCCCUGUUAAGGUGGUACAUAACACUACAGGGAGAUAACUCUG